AUUGAACGCUGGCGGCAGGCUUAACACAUGCAAGUCGAGCGCGUAGCAAUACGAGCGGCAGACGGGUGAGUAACGCGUGGGAAUCUACCCAACCCUACGGAAUAACGCAUGGAAACGUGUGCUAAAUACCGUAUACGCCCUUAGGGGAAAGAUUUAUCGGGAUGGAUGAGCCCGCGUUGGAUUAGCUAGUUGGUGGGUAAUGGCUCACCAAGGCGACGAUCAGUAGCUGGUCUGAGAGGAUGAUCAGCCACACUGGGACUGAGACACGGCCCAGACUCCUACGGGAGGCAGCAGUGGGGAAUAUUGGACAAUGGGCGCAAGACCUGAUCCAGCCAUGCCGCGUGAGUGACGAAGGUCUCGGUA
RNAcentral lists this ribosomal RNA (363 nucleotides) under uncultured bacterium. RNAcentral's name for it is "bacterial SSU rRNA". It matches the Rfam family "Bacterial small subunit ribosomal RNA", at positions 30 to 422 of the family's 1533-position model. The record is from RNAcentral.